RNAcentral lists this small nucleolar RNA (107 nucleotides) under Gossypium arboreum. RNAcentral's name for it is "Plant small nucleolar RNA R71". It matches the Rfam family "Plant small nucleolar RNA R71". From Rfam's summary of the family: R71 is a member of the C/D box family of snoRNAs containing the C (UGAUGA) and D (CUGA) box motifs. Multiple nearly identical copies of this snoRNA have been identified in Arabidopsis, and it is thought to function as a 2'-O-ribose methylation guide for 18S ribosomal RNA. Lineage: Eukaryota; Viridiplantae; Streptophyta; Magnoliopsida; Malvales; Malvaceae. The record is from Rfam by way of RNAcentral.
AACCCAUGGUGAGGGAACCUUCUCAAUAAGUUCUUGUAUCUCUCCCAUGCAUCGUAAAGUGUUUCUAAAUCUAUCUGCACAAAAGAAGAGAUAUCAUUACGCAAUUU